Molecule: transfer RNA, 82 nt
Filed under: Candidatus Jorgensenbacteria bacterium
Lineage: Bacteria; Candidatus Joergenseniibacteriota
Also listed under: 1 other name
Description: tRNA-Tyr
Rfam family: tRNA
About the family: Transfer RNA (tRNA) molecules are approximately 80 nucleotides in length.
Source: RNAcentral
GCGCCGGUACCCAAGCGGUCAACGGGGAUGGUCUGUAAAACCAUUGGCAUUGCCUACGCAGGUUCGAAUCCUGCCCGGCGCA